UCAGGCUCAUAUCUCAGUACGGGCUGGUUUACCUUAAUUUUGGCUAUGGAUGCCUGCUAUGGAAUUCACGUCUAUGGGAUGAUAAAUGACACCUACUGCAAGUCUGAAGGAUUUCGAAAAGUUCCCUACCAUUAUUAUGA
Molecule: long non-coding RNA, 140 nt
Organism: Nothoprocta perdicaria
Lineage: Eukaryota; Metazoa; Chordata; Aves; Tinamiformes; Tinamidae
Exons: 2
Source: RefSeq, a predicted model, not a curated record